CUCAAUGAAUUUUAUAUAGCCGCAAUAUUGUGCUAAGGUAGCAUAAUCAUUUGUUUUUUAAUUAAAAACUAGAACGAAAGAUUUAACAUUUUAAUUUCUUUCUUAUAUAUAAAAAUUUAACUUAUUUUAAAUAUUAAAAAAUAUUUAUUAAUUAAAAAGACGACAAGACCCUAUUGAACUUUACUAAAGUUUAACUGGGGUAGUUAAUUAAAUACAAUUUUAAUUUAAAUUUUACAAACACCUAAUAAAAUUAAAGCAAUCAAGUUACCAUAGGGAUAACAGCGUAAUAAAUUUUACAAGAUCUUAUUUAAAAAUUUGCUUACGACCUCGAUGUUGAAUUAAUAUUCUAUUAAAUGCAAUAAUUUAAUAAAGAAAGUCUGUUCGACUU
RNAcentral lists this ribosomal RNA (388 nucleotides) under Platocoelotes sp. ZZ899. Its description in RNAcentral is "partial 16S ribosomal RNA". The record is from RNAcentral. Lineage: Eukaryota; Metazoa; Arthropoda; Arachnida; Araneae; Agelenidae.